Molecule: ribosomal RNA, 804 nt
Filed under: uncultured Actinomycetes bacterium
Lineage: Bacteria; Bacillati; Actinomycetota; Actinomycetes
Description: bacterial SSU rRNA
Rfam family: Bacterial small subunit ribosomal RNA
Source: RNAcentral
GCUUGCUGCGGGUACUCGAGUGGCGAACGGGUGAGUAACACGUGGGUGAUCUGCCUUGCACUUCGGGAUAAGCUUGGGAAACUGGGUCUAAUACCGGAUAGGACAGCUGUUUAGUGUCAGUUGUGGAAAGUUUUUUCGGUGCAAGAUGAGCUCGCGGCCUAUCAGCUUGUUGGUGGGGUAAUGGCCUACCAAGGCGUCGACGGGUAGCCGGCCUGAGAGGGUGUACGGCCACAUUGGGACUGAGAUACGGCCCAGACUCCUACGGGAGGCAGCAGUGGGGAAUAUUGCACAAUGGGCGGAAGCCUGAUGCAGCGACGCCGCGUGGGGGAUGAAGGCCUUCGGGUUGUAAACUCCUUUCGACAGGGACGAAGCGUAAGUGACGGUACCUGUAUAAGAAGCACCGGCUAACUACGUGCCAGCAGCCGCGGUAAUACGUAGGGUGCGAGCGUUGUCCGGAAUUACUGGGCGUAAAGAGCUCGUAGGUGGUUUGUCGCGUCGUCUGUGAAAUUCCGGGGCUUAACUCCGGGCGUGCAGGCGAUACGGGCUGACUUGAGUGCUGUAGGGGAGACUGGAAUUCCUGGUGUAGCGGUGAAAUGCGCAGAUAUCAGGAGGAACACCGAUGGCGAAGGCAGGUCUCUGGGCAGUAACUGACGCUGAGGAGCGAAAGCAUGGGUAGCGAACAGGAUUAGAUACCCUGGUAGUCCAUGCCGUAAACGGUGGGCGCUAGGUGUAGGGGGCUUCCACGUCUUCUGUGCCGUAGCUAACGCAUUAAGCGCCCCGCCUGGGGAGUACGCCGCAAGGCUU